This 66-nucleotide transfer RNA is filed under the name Edessena gentiusalis. RNAcentral's name for it is "tRNA-Met". Lineage: Eukaryota; Metazoa; Arthropoda; Insecta; Lepidoptera; Erebidae. The record is from RNAcentral.
UUAAAAAUAAGCUAAGAUAAGCUUUUGGGCUCAUACCCCAAAUAUAAAGAAUUUCUUUUUUUUAAA